This 236-nucleotide unclassified non-coding RNA is filed under the name uncultured fungus. RNAcentral describes it as "sequence contains ITS1". The record is from RNAcentral. Lineage: Eukaryota; Fungi.
UUGAUAGCUUCCCAUCAGACUCAGAUGCAAACUCUUUUCAGCGUUUUAAACUCUGAUCCUCCGGCAGCCGGGCACAGCACCCGGAACCCUGAACCAGGCCGCCGUGACGGCAGCGCUGGCAAGGCCGUGGCCCCCCCUGGGCCGCCUGCCGAAGCAACGACAAUAGGUAUGUUCACAGUGGGGUUUGAGCCGUUCAGGACUCUGUAAUGAUCCCUCCGCUGGUUCACCAACGGAGA